GUCUCCUCCUCAGCAUCUCUGAAGUCGCUGAAGAAGGGCAGGUCGAGUGCCUCGGAGGCGCUCACCCUCUGCUCAGGGUCCAGAAGCAGCAUCUUUUCCAGGACACACACGGCUGUGUUGCAGAUAAACACAUCAAGGAGACACUGAAACUCCUGAUGAGCAACAGAAGCUGAGCUCAGCACAGAUUUGUUUCCAGUGAUUACAACACAGGAAAAGCUUCAUGAGCUUUCCGAGGUCAGUGCCCAUGAACGGCAUCACCAGGUAACUGCAGACGAGAAGAAGAAGAAGAGUCGAGCCGCUCCAUUGGAACAACAACAAACGAUUUUGCAGUCAGCAUCCAGGAAUGGAUGAGAACUCACAAAUCCCGUAAGCGGUCCAGUGAGAUUUCAGCAGUGAAAACAUCCAAGAGCCCGAUUACCUAAUCGAGAGGAAUAAGUAAAAGUAAAACUAUUAUUGAGAGUGCCCCUAAAAAGUUCAACUUCAGUAAGAAACUAGGAGCCUGAAGAUGCGUUGCACAGCUUCAAAAUCCCUCUUUUCUCAUUUGCCU
Long non-coding RNA from Scatophagus argus, 547 nucleotides. RefSeq lists it as uncharacterized. The record is from RefSeq and is a predicted model, not a curated record. Lineage: Eukaryota; Metazoa; Chordata; Actinopteri; Scatophagidae. The transcript has 3 exons.